This 229-nucleotide ribosomal RNA is filed under the name uncultured bacterium. RNAcentral describes it as "partial 16S ribosomal RNA". It matches the Rfam family "Bacterial small subunit ribosomal RNA", at positions 568 to 796 of the family's 1533-position model. The record is from RNAcentral.
UCCGUAGGCGGAUAGAUAAGUCAGAGGUGAAAUCCUGCAGCUCAACUGUAGAAUUGCCUUUGAAACUGUUCAUCUUGAGUUAUUGUGAAGUGGUUAGAAUAUGUAGUGUAGCGGUGAAAUGCUUAGAGAUUACAUGGAAUACCGAUUGCGAAGGCAGAUCACUAACAAUAUACUGACGCUGAUGGACGAAAGCGUGGGGAGCGAACAGGAUUAGAUACCCUGGUAGUCC